This 395-nucleotide ribosomal RNA is filed under the name uncultured Parcubacteria group bacterium. RNAcentral describes it as "bacterial SSU rRNA". It matches the Rfam family "Bacterial small subunit ribosomal RNA", at positions 28 to 455 of the family's 1533-position model. The record is from RNAcentral.
GGUGAACGCUGGCGGCGUGGAUGAGGCAUGCAAGUCGAAUGGGUUUAGACCCAUGGCGGACGAGGUAGUAACACGUAGGUACGUACUCCAAAGUCAGGGAUAAUCUGCCGAAAGGCAGGACAAUACUUGAUGGUCCCGAAAGGGUAAAGAUUUAUCGCUUUGGAAACGGCCUGCGCUCUAUCAGCUUGUUGGUAAGGUAACGGCUUACCAAGGCUACGACGGAUAGGGGAGCUGAGAGGCUGACCCCCACCGAUGGAACUGCGACACGGUCCUUACUCCUACGGGAGGCUGCAGUCGAGAAUCUUCCGCAAUGGACGAAAGUCUGACGGAGCGACGCCGCGUGGUGGAUGAAGUCCUUAGGGACGUAAACACCUUUUAUGAGGGAAGAAGUUUAU